This 87-nucleotide transfer RNA is filed under the name Caulobacter sp. Its description in RNAcentral is "tRNA-Leu". It matches the Rfam family "tRNA". Rfam says of the family: Transfer RNA (tRNA) molecules are approximately 80 nucleotides in length. Their secondary structure includes four short double-helical elements and three loops (D, anti-codon, and T loops). The record is from RNAcentral. RNAcentral also lists the same sequence under 61 other names. Lineage: Bacteria; Pseudomonadati; Pseudomonadota; Alphaproteobacteria; Caulobacterales; Caulobacteraceae.
GCCCAGGUGGCGGAAUUGGUAGACGCGCUGGCUUCAGGUGCCAGUGACCGAAAGGUCGUGGAGGUUCGAGUCCUCUCCUGGGCACCA